CGUCGUAGCUCAGUUGGUAGAGCAGAGGACUGAAAAUCCUUGUGUCACUGGUUCAAUUCCAGUCGAUGC
This 69-nucleotide transfer RNA is filed under the name bovine gut metagenome. It matches the Rfam family "tRNA". Rfam says of the family: Transfer RNA (tRNA) molecules are approximately 80 nucleotides in length. Their secondary structure includes four short double-helical elements and three loops (D, anti-codon, and T loops). The record is from RNAcentral. RNAcentral also lists the same sequence under 1 other name.